CGUGGAUAUCCUUGCACCCCCUGGCUCAUGACUCCUUACCGUAAUCCCAGGCCAGGACCACAGAUGGCAUUUAACUCCGCGCUUACUGCCACUAGGCAGCUGGUGGAGCGCACAAUUGGUGUCCUUAAAGGGCGGUUUCGUGUGCUCCACCGCACUGGUGGCGACAUCAUGUAUUCGCCGGAGAUGGCAAGUAAAAUAGUGGUCCUGUGCGCAAUACUACAUAAUAUCGCGGUAAGGAGUAGUGUAGAGCUUCCUCAGGCAGAGGAAUUGCCUGAUGAGGAGCCAGGGGUUGUUCGACACUUCGGUGGUGGGAGUGUUACACGGAGGGGGAGCCAAGUGAGGGCAAGGAUUGUUGCCGAAUAUUUCAGCUGAAUGAUCACACAAACUGUGGACAACAACAACGGCAGACCUCUCCGCCCCCUUCCCCUUCCCAGUCCCCCUCCCCUUCUCACUCCCCCUCCCCUUCUCACUCCCCCUCCCCUUCCCAGUCCCCCUCAUCUUCCCAGUCCCCCUCAUCUUCCCAGUCCCCCUCAGCUUCCCUGGCCCACACCACUUUACACUCCCCUUCUCACCACACCUCUCCAUCUCUUUCUGGGACCCCUUCUCCUCC
This is a long non-coding RNA of Pseudophryne corroboree (corroboree frog), 610 nucleotides long. RefSeq lists it as uncharacterized. The record is from RefSeq and is a predicted model, not a curated record. The transcript is spliced from 3 exons. Lineage: Eukaryota; Metazoa; Chordata; Amphibia; Anura; Myobatrachidae.